GCGGGAAUAGCUCAGUUGGUAGAGCACGACCUUGGCAAGGUCGGGGUCGCGAGUUCGAGUCUCGUUUCCCGCUCCA
RNAcentral lists this transfer RNA (76 nucleotides) under Pseudomonas aeruginosa. Its description in RNAcentral is "tRNA-Ala". It matches the Rfam family "tRNA". From Rfam's summary of the family: Transfer RNA (tRNA) molecules are approximately 80 nucleotides in length. Their secondary structure includes four short double-helical elements and three loops (D, anti-codon, and T loops). Lineage: Bacteria; Pseudomonadati; Pseudomonadota; Gammaproteobacteria; Pseudomonadales; Pseudomonadaceae. The record is from RNAcentral. RNAcentral also lists the same sequence under 6 other names.